CUUUAAAGUUGGGUGUUAAGUCAGUAACAUGUAAACACAUUUGUAUGAUAUUUUUUUUUAUCACUGUUCAUCAUGCUUUUGAGGGUUAAAUAAAGUUUGUGUUAGGGUAUAUAUUUUUUUGGGUAAAGGCAAUGUGCAUUACUUGUAUUUUUUGUUGGUUUAUAUAGUAAACAGCAAUACUUUUACAGUUCCUAUUUAAAUGGCUUUUAUGACAAACAAUAUUUUGCAGUUACUGUGUGUGUUUUUAAAACUUUUAUGCUAUUCAAAUAUUUUUUUGUUAUUUCCAAAGUAAUGUCUGGUCAAGGCCUUGUGAUUUAGUUAUUUCCUUUUUAAUUUAAUUUUAUAUAAAUUUAUAUCCUACAAAAUAAAAAAACUAAAAUUUAGUACACUAGUUUCAAAAUAUAAAUUUAGUUACCAACAGUCACAUCUUUGAGAAGUUUAUAUAUAUUUUGAUUCAUAAUUUAUGAAAUCUUUUUUUUACCUCUUUCUUCAGUGACACUUGUUGAAAGUCUGUUUAUGCAAUUUGUCUGUAUUAUUCUAGAAGGAACCAACCAAUACACACACACACGAAAGGAUAUUUCAAUAUCUAGAUUGUCCUGUGUCUAAAAAAAUUGCAUUGAUUAGACUGUUGAUGAUCUAUUGAUCAUUACUAAAAAUUUGCCAAAAGUAAAAAAAAAUCAUAAAGCUACCAUAAGAAUUCUUAUAUUUGAAAUGUCUGAGAGGUAGAUAUUUUUUAAUUUGAAUGGCAAAAUGCUUGUUACUGACUGUAUAUAAAUCUAUAUAUAUGCUUUAUCUUAAUUUAUAUGGUAUGUGGUAUUUUUAAUUUUAUGCUGUUGUUCCUCAUCCAUACUGGCUUAUCAGUCAUGAUGUCUGGUUCAUAUUUGUUGUCAGUGGUGAAAUGAUCGCUAUGUUGUUUCAUUUUUAUGAUUUUAUUUUUUAAUUGUUUUGAAUAUUUGAAUUUUAUUUUCUAAAGACAACAUCUACAUUUAUUGACAAAGGUAUGAUUAUAAUUCAUAUUGAGAACAAAAAAUGAGUCCUGAGUGCUUUUUCUGUAGUUUUUACAAUGAAUUUGAAUUUCCAAUAAGAGUGCUAAUUUUUUUCCUCACAAAUUUUGAUAGUGCUUAUGUUUGCCCAAGUGCUAAAACUAACAAUUUUUACAAUGAAAGUGCUUCUAUUUGCUGAAGUGCCUAAACUAACAAAACUUAUGUUGAUAGUACUUCUGAUAAGUCCAAGUGCUUAGACUAACUAUACUUAAAUUGAUAGUGCUUCUUUACUUGUCAUAUUAUAAUAUAUAGUGCUUCUGUAAAUAACUUCAAAACGUCAUAGAAAAAAUGAAACAAUUUUAAGACAUGAGACCAGGAAUUAUUGUUUUGAACACCUGUACUUUGUCAGUCCCCAAUACAUUUGGUACAGGUUUGUUGUUAAGAUGUUAUUCAAGUGUUGGAUUUACAAGUGGAUGUUUUUGAAUUACCGGUGAAAACAGUUUUCAUACAAAUGUGCCAAUAAGUUUGGUGUAGUUGUAUUUGUUACAAUUUAAAUACAGGUGUCAAAUUUACUUGCCAGUUUGUUUUUAAUUAGUAAAAAUCUAUUUCGAUACAAAUUUACCAAUAAACUUGGCCAAGGUGUAAUGUUACAAUUUAAAUACAGGUGUUAAGUUUACUUGCCAAUUUGUUUUUAUUUGGGAAAUUAAUUUUAAUACAAGUGUGCCAAAGGAGUAUAAAUCUUUUUUAUGCCAAAUUAUCUGUUAAUUUUUAUCAAAAAUUGAACAUGAUUGUUAUUAACAUUGAUUAUUAGCAUUAUUA
This 1802-nucleotide long non-coding RNA is filed under the name Mytilus galloprovincialis (Mediterranean mussel). The record is from RNAcentral. Lineage: Eukaryota; Metazoa; Mollusca; Bivalvia; Mytilida; Mytilidae.